GGCAGCAGCCGCGGGAACACCGGCAGCUCUAGUGGUAACAAUUUUAUUGGGCCUAAAGCGUCCGUAGCCGGUUUAAUAAGUCUCUGGUGAAAUCCUGCAGCUUAACUGUGGGAAUUGCUGGAGAUACUAUUAGACUUGAGACCGGGAGAGGUUAGAGGUACUCCCAGGGUAGAGGUGAAAUUCUGUAAUCCUGGGAGGACCGCCUGUUGCGAAGGCGUCUAACUGGAACGGUUCUGACGGUGAGGGACGAAAGUUAGGGGCGCGAACCGGAUUAGGAUACCCCGGGUAGUCCUAACUGUAAACGAUGCGGACUUGGUGUUGGGUGGCUUUGAGCUGCUUCAGUGCCGAAGGGAAGCUGUUAAGUCCGCCGCCUGGGAAGUACGGUCGCAAGACUGAAACUUAAGGAAUUGGCGGGGGAGCACCACAACGCGUGGAGCCUGCCGGUUUAAUUGGAUUCAACGCCGAACAUCUCACCAGAGGCGACAGCUGUAUGAUAGCCAGGUUGAUGACUUUGCUUGACUAGCUGAGAAGUGGUGCAUGG
Molecule: ribosomal RNA, 541 nt
Filed under: uncultured archaeon
Lineage: Archaea
Description: bacterial SSU rRNA
Rfam family: Archaeal small subunit ribosomal RNA
Source: RNAcentral